Molecule: transfer RNA, 83 nt
Filed under: Candidatus Kaiserbacteria bacterium
Lineage: Bacteria; Candidatus Kaiseribacteriota
Description: tRNA-Leu
Rfam family: tRNA
About the family: Transfer RNA (tRNA) molecules are approximately 80 nucleotides in length. Their secondary structure includes four short double-helical elements and three loops (D, anti-codon, and T loops). Further hydrogen bonds mediate the characteristic L-shaped molecular structure. tRNAs have two regions of fundamental functional importance: the anti-codon, which is responsible for specific mRNA codon recognition, and the 3' end, to which the tRNAs corresponding amino acid is attached (by aminoacyl-tRNA synthetases). tRNAs cope with the degeneracy of the genetic code in two manners: having more than one tRNA (with a specific anti-codon) for a particular amino acid; and 'wobble' base-pairing, i.e. permitting non-standard base-pairing at the 3rd anti-codon position.
Source: RNAcentral
GCCGGGGUGGCGAAAUUGGUCAUACGCGCGCGACUUAAGAUCGCGUUCCGCAAGGAGUGUGGGUUCGAGUCCCACCCCCGGCA